Macadamia integrifolia is the source of this 9223-nucleotide long non-coding RNA. RefSeq lists it as uncharacterized. Lineage: Eukaryota; Viridiplantae; Streptophyta; Magnoliopsida; Proteales; Proteaceae. The record is from RefSeq and is a predicted model, not a curated record. The transcript is spliced from 2 exons.
UGUAAUGCAUGCUCCACGCCUUAUAUGAUGCUCAUGGAUUCAUUUAAAUUACACUACUUCCUAGUCCAUUACUAAGUCUCCGAAAGUGGUAUAGUCCUACGCAACGUAGGUGGUAUCCCCUUUCCCAGAAUGUCUGGCUUCAAGGAUACAAGCUAGUUGUAGGCAGGAGUCAGCCAAUCUCGGAAAGAACCUCGGUCUCCCAGCUAACCCCUAGGUUAGUAACCCUAGGAAGUCAAGUGUACAAUACUUCUUACCCUGCUGCUAUCCGUCUCUCAUUACAGUUCGUCGUACCCCGGAAGUGUAUUGCUAAUCAGGUAGCCACAGUUUGGGAUUAGUCAGUACCUCACCCCCUACUGACAAGUGGUUGUAGCACUCGGGUGGUGAUAAUCCUAACCCGCAAAUUUCUACAUGAUGCAAUUUCAAUCAUCAACCAGUCACACCACAUACCAAUAAAUGUCGGGCACACAAUGGUACCCUGACUUACCUGUCUUACCUUUUUCCGUCUUUCUGCUUCAUUGAGUUAGUAACAAAGAUAAUAAUAUUAUGCACAUAACAGUAUGCAUGAGAUACAAGCAAAAUUUAAAAUAAAAUAAACACUCUGUAAAAUAAUUCAGGGCACCCACUCACCUUGUUUCUCAGACUCCUGUGCGAUAGGUUCCCAAAUUGGGGUUCCGUCCUCACCGUCAGUUUUGGUUCCUAAUUACAAUGUUUUUAAUAAAAUAUUAGUAAUAGGAAAUUCUAGUUUAUCCAUUUUAGCUACAAACCUCAGUUCCGGGUUCUAACUGGACUUCCUGUGUUAUAGAAUCCCCUAUCCUUAACCUUCUCUUGGUAAGCCUACUUAUCAGGGAAUUGUUGUUGUAGUCCCCACACUGGGGUAGGGUAUUCUCGGUCUCCUACCUUAUCACCUUGGACACUAUGAUUCCAAGUACAGUCCUUACUUCCUACCGGGGUAAAUUUUUGGAUUUAAAAUGAUGUUAAUAGACUCAAUUUAUAGGUAGGGCCCAUUGUCCUAUGAAAAUGACCAAUCCAGCAUUCUGUAACCCUAACUGGCAGGUUGGUGGGGCAGAAACCGGCUGGCCGGUUGAACCUGCUGGUUCUUCUUUUACUGCAGAAUUCAAUUCUGCUAGUGCCCUACCGAAUACUGCCUUGGUUGUGUUGGGUUCCAACCCUCUUCCAGUGGUCCGAAUUGGGUAUGUAGGAUUUGAAUACCUAGUUUCAGUCUCCUACUGACCCCUUUCUUAGGUCCAAUUGGUGGUGUCAGGGAUGGUGAUUCUCAAUUUUGCAGAAUUUCAGGGUUCAGGUAAUUUGUGGAACAAUUCUGUAGAAUUAAGUCAAUCCUUCAUCAAUUUCCCGUAAUUUAAAUUAAGUAUAACUACCUACAGACAUGAAAGAGAUAUUUCAAUCCCAAGUGAGCACAUAGUAGGAUUCCAAGGAGGGAAUUCAUAGAUUAAAAUCUGAAAUGCAUUACUGCCUUAGAAAUUUUGUAGAAUUUCACCUAACAGCCCUUAUUUCAACUCAAAUUCCUUAAAUUUCCACUAAUUUGGUAGAACCAUAGGUUAUAGGGUUUAGCAGGGAUAAAUUUCCUGCAAAUUGGACCCCGGUAUCCCCUCUGAAAUUGGGGCUUCUUGUACUGGGCAGUAGUACGUCUCACAGGUUUCCCUGGUAAUCCCCAAUUGAGCCAAAAUCUUAAACCCUACUUCUCAAUUCUAUGAACUCGUCAAUCUCUACUGUACUGGGUCAUUAAACAUACCUGAGGCGGUGUUGGUCCAGCAAAAACCUUAGGUGAAGUAAUUCCCUCCUCACUUCUUCUGCUUCCUUCCUUUCCUUCUCUUUCCUUGUUCUCCUUCUCUUUUCUCCCUUCUUCUUCUUACUGUACUUAGCAAUAGGAAAUGAUUUUGAGUGAGUAAAUCCCCCCCUAAAGCCUUCUUAUGUUAUUUAUAGCCCAGCCCAAACAGUCCUAAGGGCCUGCUUGGCUGGAGCCUCUUCAGUAACCCAAUAGACAUAAUUUAGGUUAUUAUUUUACUACUUAGCUUAGGCAUCUCUGUUCUCAGAGGUAAAAGGUGAAUUGGGACCCCAAACUUGCCUCUAUUUACAAGCAAAAAGGCAGAAAUUCCACUGUAGAGAAGAGGGCCCCACAAACCAAACCCUAAAAUUUGUGUAUUUUGACAGUCUGGUUGGACCUGGCAGAUACAGUCUUUUGGGCCCCAUUUGGUCGGUAUAACCAUCCCCAGUGUCUGGUCCAUUGAGAAUUGAAAUAACACCUGUUUGCCCAUGUUUCUUGAUAAGUCUUCCAAUGCUGCUGGUAGACUGGGCAUCUACAGGUAGGAUCAUCCUUGCCUUCGUGGCAUUCCACUGCUGCCAACCAUGCUAGGGCUGCCUUCCUCUGCUCUGCCUCUUUACCUGAACACAGUAAAUCAAAGUAGGGUUUUACAGAAACCCUUGAUCUGUUUACUGAGGCUCUGAUACCAUGUUACAAACCAGAGGUCUAACUAAUCAAACCAAGAGAAAACAAAGAGAGAGAGAGAGAGAGAGAAAGAGGAAGAAAAAGAGAGAAAGAGAGGCUACCGAACUGUGUGGUGGGAGGCAGCCUGCGAUAGUGAAUUGUGUUCUAUCCGCAGGCUGCUCCUCACCUAUAUAUAUAUAUGUAUGUAUAAGUGCAAAAAUAAGAGAGUUAAGUUAGGGGACAGAAAUACCCCCAACCAACUUAUUACAAUGAGUAGAGAGAAAAUAAAGCGAAUAGGGGAGAAUACUAAGCCCGAUGAGAUAGAAUUGCCCCUAGAGCUUUAACACUUCCAUUGUUUUGAAACUAAUAAAGGUGAAAGUGUAUGCAGGCCUAAGUUUCUAUGGUUAUAAUUAAAAAUAUUUAAACACUUAGUUUCAUUCUAGGAAAGAUAAUCAGUUUCCAUCUGAAAAGACUGCAUGAUAAAUCUGUCGGGGCUACCAUCUUAUUUAUUGGGAAGAAACUAUCAGGCCACAAUGCAGUUCAAUUUAUUCUUUGUCUUUGCCAUCACCUUUUGAGGGAUGCUGAAAGUACUGCUUGUAUACAGCUGAAAGCUUGUAGAGAUCUCUCAAGAAUUUCUAGAUUUCGAGUUCAUGGUCUCAGUAUCAGCAUAAAGCCUUUCAUUUCAUUUCAUUGGCUCAUGUGGUUACUGAUCCUUCUAAUCAAGGAGCUUCAACUUUUUGAGUGUGAAGCGUAAACACUGAACUGGAGAUAACCUUCACUUACACCAAAUGCCCUAUGUCCUCAAAAAUAUUUUGUGUAGGCUUAGUAACCCUAAUAUAAAAGCAGACACUCUUUUUCAUAUUGUCACUUCUGGAUGAGCACAUAUUUGGAGGUUGAGCUUAAGAGAAAUGUAUAAUGUCUUUACCCUUCAAGCACUGGAAAGUUAGUGGUUCAUAAAAGAAACACAACAUAUAGGUUGAAUGACCUAGUUUUCGGCAAUUGAGCAAUUGUUGUUUUGUCCAUUGACCCCUACCUCUCCUCCCUCCCACCCCACCUCCCCCCCCCCCACCCCAAAAAAAAAAAAAAAAAAAAAAAAAAAAAAAGAAAGAAAAAGAGAACAUAAAAUAAAGAGAUCUAAAAAUUUGUUUUCUAAUCCUCUAUUCACUUGCUAUAAGUAGCUUGCUAUAAGAAGGCUAGAAGUAUUAAGUAUACUUUUCAUUUGUUGUUUUUGGUGUAGCUUUUUCCUUCUAGGAUGAAUCAGUGAUCUAGUGCGAAGUUGAGAAGUCAAUGUAUAUUGUUUCAGAUGCAAGGUUCCUUAAGUUACUCUUACCUUUUGUGUAAGCAUAUGAAAGGAGUGGAACCUCUGUAGCUUUUAGACAAGUAACGAUCACCCAUAGGAGCUUUUAAGGGAAUUAAGCUCGACUAGAUAUGUCUUUAUUAGUGAGGGCCUUUCAUAAAAAUAUCGAGUUUCUUGUUACAUUUUCUUGGUUACAUCUGGUUGUGCAAGUCUUCAAUGUGAUGAUUAUUUAGAAGAGGAUGGACCCUACUGUUUAGGUACUUUCAUUCUGUCAAGAAAAAGAGUAUAUUUUAGACAUUUACAUAUAUGAUAUGAUAGAUUGAGCUGAUCUGGAUCAUAGCACCACCCCCUGAUGCAGAUGAAACACAGAAGUGGGCUUAUUUAAGUGGAAAUAAGCCUUAGGUUGAGUUACAUAUGUGUUUGGCUUUUGGUCCAAUGGAUUUCAUUGUAAUAGGCCACUUUAAUGGGCCUAAAAUAUGGAUGGGAGUUAGGAAUACAGGAUUUAUUUUAUUAGUUUAGUUGAGCCUUUUAUCUCAUAUAUUAUUUCUCAUUAACUGUUUUAGUUGGGAAGAAUUAGAUCUCUAUGAGUCCACCUUUGUUUUAAGGUGUUCUCCUUUAUUUUAGGCUGAGUAUAGUAGUUGUAGACUACCUCCAAGGUAAGCUAUUGGCUGGGAGUUUUCGGCUUAGUUUGAUUAAUGUAGAACUAGGCUGACAAGUCAAGCCUAAUCCCAAUGCUGCAGGAUACUCUUAGAGAACAUUCCAAAAUCAAGGCACCAAUAGCAUAGUUCAGAUAAGAAUACUAGAAGGAAACAAAUCUGGAAAAAUCAAGGCUAUCGAUUCCAAUAAUUGGGGUUUCUGUAAUCAGAAUAUAACCAACUGUAAAGGGAAACUCAAAAGCUGAAAUAGGGUUAGAACAGAUGAUAAAACAUGAACAAUCAUCAUACAAAUCAGAAACAAACCAGACCUAUUUAUUAAUCUCAGAAAAUAGAACAGAUUUGGUCAAAAUAUCCAAUCGGGCAGAACUAUGGGUGAUUUGUGUAGCUGACCAACCAGUGGUCUUAUGGGGCCCAAACUAAGAUCUUACCACCUUCAGAUCGGGCCUAACACUCGACCAAACGAUGGAGAUGAUCAGGUGGUUGAAAGCCCUUGAAUCAGGGAUGGAUUGGGGAACAAGAAAGAGAAUUUCAGAACUGGAAAAUAGAAAGUAUUGCAGAUCCAUAGUGUGGGACAAACCAUCUAUAUCUAGAAAUGGAAAUGCAAUAGGUAGGGCCCCAAACAUCAGAAUGGAUCACAGAAAAAGGAACAGUAUUUCUAUGAUCAGGAGUAGGAUAAACAUUCCGAGUUCUGUUUUGCAAAAAUGCAAGCAUCACAAGUAAAUUGGUUCUGAUUACACUGUUUAACUAAAGCAGGAAAUAAUCUAGAUAUAGUCCCCGAGGGGGGGUGUCCUAAACGACGAUGCCAACGAUGAAGCUUUGAUAAGGCUAUCUCUGAAGUUGUAUGAUGAGCCUGUGUAGAUCCACUAUCCAGGUAAUAGAGACCACCACUCAUUUUACCACUUGCAAUUGUUGCCCCCUUCACCAAGUCCUGAAACACACAGUGAGUAGGAAAAAAGUGACUUUACAAUUGAGAUCCUUAGUAGUACUACCAAUUGACCAUAGAUUAGUAGAAAACUGAGGAAUAUGCAAAACAGAAGAGAGGGACAUGGAGGAUGAGCAUUGAAUGGUACCCAUCCCUACAAUAGGAGAUAGAUACCCAUCAACAACUUGAACCUUUGUUUUACUUGAGGAUGGAAAAUUUGUAGAAAAAGAAGUGGGCGACCCGGUUGUAUGAUCAGUAGCCCUAGAGUUAAUAAUCCAAUUCUUAGAAGGAACUAAAGCACUACCAAAAAAACAAUACCUGACUGAGCAGAGUGGGAGGGAGAGGCCACUAGCAGAAAGGAAGCAAUAGCUGCAGAGAAGGAUCCCAUAUGAUUCAUCAUUUGACAAACCAUAACCAUUUCAUCGUUAGAGGAGGAUCAUGUGAUACUAGGGCAGUCAGAGUUGUCUGUUGUCUUAGAUUAAUUAACCUGAUUGUUCUUUCCACGACCGUGGUUACGGUCGCUAGAAUUGGCUGGGUGCCCAUGGAGCUUCCAAGUCUCCCUAAUCUGGCGCUCCUUAAAUGUCACAUUUGACAAUAGGCAUGUCUGUGGAGGAAGGAGUAGUGAUUCGAGUACCAGAACCAGCAGGUUGACAAAUAGAACCCUAUGCAAAGAUUAGGUAGAGCGGUCCUGAGAAAUAGGCUGAAGCUUCUCAGAUCGACAUUUUUCUUCUGCAUGAAUCAGAGAAAAGUCUUGCUCAAGGGUAGGGAAGGGAUCAUGCUUAAGCACAUUUGCUCGAAUCUGAUCAAUUUCCACAUUUAGACUUGCAAGGAAAUUAUAGAUGCGGAACUCUUCUUCACAUUUUUUUAAAACCUACAACAUCAGUAGCACAAAUAGGUUGAACAUAGUAAUCAAUUUCAUUCCAUAUUCCUUAUAGUUCAGAAUGGUAUUGAGAUCCUUACAAUUUAGAAUAGAAUUGAAAGACUGUAAGGUCCUUAUGAGUAGCCCUAUGAAGGUUCUUUCUCAAUUCAAAACACUGGGCACUCUUGCCCACUUGAGAAUACGUUCUUUUCACAGCUUUUUGGAUCAGAGUAGCAGAAUCAAGCAAAAAAUACCCCCUAGUAAUAGAAGGGGUGAUAGAGUUGAUAAGAUGGGACAUUACCAGACAGUCGACAACAUUCCAUUUGUCUUGAGGGGCAUCAACAGUAGUAGGGCAUACAAAAGUAACUGUAUGAAGUCCGACAUAAUCUUGGCUAAGAUAGGUUAUAGGAAUGAGACCACAUCAGGUAGUUGCUCUCAUCCAACUUGAGAAGCUAGUGGGGAAGGUAGGGUAGAUACUAUUAGGGGGACGACUCCCUCCCUCCUGGAGAACCGACAUGUAGAGUCUUCAGACUCCAUAAAUGCUAAUCCCAAGAACAAUCAAAAGCUAUACAAACUGUUUAGAUCUAUCUCGUCAUACAAAUCUAUAUAAGAGCUAGGGUUCUAGACUAGGAGAAGGCCCCCGGUGGGAAGAAACUCACCACUGAGGGGAAAACUCUAAAGGAACCAAAAAAAAAAAGAAAGAAAAGGAGCCCUGUAGAAGGGGAAUAGGGGUGGGGCUAGUGACUAGCGAGAGAGAGAGAAGUGAGCGGUGGAGGCGGUGCAUGGCGGCAGCUAACAGUGGUUGUGGUCUAUGGAAAGAGGCAGCCGUAAGAGGCUAGGCUGUGGUGGCGGUGUUCAUAGAGAGAGAGAGAGAGAGAGAGAGAGAGAGAAGUGGGGCUGCAGCUAGGUUUAGGGUUUAGAGAGAGCAAAAAAUAUGACUUGCGUACACAAGCUACUCUAUUUAUAAUGAAAUAAAACCCUAAAGGGCUUAAGGGUAUGUGUGGAUAACACCCUAAAACCCAAUAAACAAUAAUCCAUUAUUACAAAAAUUAUGAUAUUAUCACUUGGGUAAUGGGUUAGUCCCCUUGAAAAGUGUGCUUAUUUCCUCUCUUUGGGGCAUUUAAAAGGAUUUGAAUUGCAACUUUUCCAAAAUGGGGCCGGUUAUACUCAAUUGGUGAUUGAUAAGAAUAUGGUAUUAGUACUUCAGCAUCACAAUAGGCUUCGGCUAUUGAUUUAUUCAAAGGAAUCCCAAGUGGCAUGCCUAGCAAGUGCUUUUUAUUCUUUCCCAUGAAAACAAAACACUUGAUAUGAAGCAUAAUUUUGACAAUUACCUGGGAAUUCACCAUCAUUUGUCAAGCUCUUGAUCCUCUGUAAAAUCCACAUUAGGCUUGUCUUACUUGUGGGAGUACUAUUGAACAAUGGGAUUAUAGGAGUAGAUGUAUUAAAUUUCCUUGAUAAUUUUCAUUUUUCAGAAGUGAACAAGGCCCCUCAUUUAAGUCCUGGGAGUGGUGCUUAAAAACAUUCCUGACCUUUAAAUAAAUAAAUCCAAUAUUGUGUUGUAGCUUUAGGGGGCAUACUUAUGGUUAAACAAUAUUUCAAGUGGUUGAGUAUAGUUGGGUAAGUCUAGAUAGGAAAUAGCAUAUUUUGAUAAAUGAUGAUUUAUUAAAAAGAAAAGAAGAAAUAGCCAACAGAUGAAGCUCAACCUACAGAAAAGGAAAAAAAAGUGAAAGAAGCAACGGCAAAGUAGGGGAAUGAAAAAGAAAGCUAUGUCCCUAAAGGAAUGCUGGACCUUGUACAGAAUCUACGAUGAACAACACAAUGUUUAGCUUACUCAUUGCCAUUCAUCUGUUUGUUUGUUAUCUACUCUCGUAGUUAGUUAGAUCCAUCUGGAACUGGAAGCCAGACAAAAACAGUGUGAUUUUGGUUAUUUUGACUAUGGAAUAGAGAGGUCCACCUCUUGGGGUAAGGGCUUGUUUCCCUUUUUAUUCUGUUACUGUUUAUGCUAUUUGACUGCUCUUUCUUUGCUACUGCAAUUGCUCCAAGUGUUUAUGGCUUCCAUUUGCAUGUUUUGUAUCUUCUGUUGCUGAGAAUUCAAUGCAUUAGCAUAGAAUCGACCUUUUCCAUUCCAGUCAAACUCAACUGAGUCUUAUCCCAACUAAAUGAGGUUGGCUGUUCCAUGUCAAUUUUGUUGCUUGAAGUUUGAAUCUGUUCAGAAGAUCAAGUGUUUAUACUUGGUUGCAGACAGUUUGAUUUCAAGUUGCAGUUAAGCUAUCAAAUCUGUUUUUUGGAGUAACGUUAUGGUCUUGUUUCUGAUUGAAGCCAGAUAUUUUAUCCAAAGUUUGUAAUAUUCUGGUCCAAGGAACUCUUUUUUUUUUUUUAAGGGGGGGGGGGGGGUUGGUUAGCCAAUCGCCUUUGUUUUUGAAGAAUGAAUCUAAAGUUUGGUAAGAUUCUUGUCUGGUUGGCCCUAGUUUUGUUUAAUUUGUUAUCAUAGUUGUUAAGGAGUCAUCCAGGCACCCUUCGCUGGAAGGGGUGCCUUGUUGGUGUUGCCUUGAUGUGCAGGCCCCUUCGAACACCCUGGGUUGCCUAGAUGCCAUGACAACUACGUAUGUUUUUGCUGCUUCUGGGGAUUACACAUGCAGUUUCUAUUGAAUGAACAUGAGAAGAUCCAGGACCUAUCCCAACAGCUACUUGUUGAGAAACGACGAUGUGCAGGAUACAGAAAGCAACUUGAUCUGCUUUUCAAGUACAUUGAGGAGCACACACACAGCAUGUCAGAGAAGAUCCAACACAUAGUCAACACUGUAAAUGAGAUUGAAUCUCGGAAGUCAGCACAUCAACAACCUAGAUAGCCUUUACAUGUCAAGAUGCUACCUUUGUAAUUUGUUUCCUUUUAUUUUUUGCAAUUAAUUAGUUGGAAUUAUGGGUAUUCAUUCUAUUUUAAUUAUGGACAAUCAAGUUGAAAAAUGCACGUUGCUCGGUGUUUGCCUCUGUUUGGUGCUUUCAUAUGCUUCUCAUAAUGGUAUAAGGAUUGAGACUUGCUCUUUCA